RNAcentral lists this ribosomal RNA (610 nucleotides) under Sanguibacter sp. Ri3Pt_4372. RNAcentral describes it as "bacterial SSU rRNA". It matches the Rfam family "Bacterial small subunit ribosomal RNA", at positions 401 to 1019 of the family's 1533-position model. The record is from RNAcentral. Lineage: Bacteria; Bacillati; Actinomycetota; Actinomycetes; Micrococcales; Sanguibacteraceae.
UGAGGGAUAGAAGGCCUUUCGGGUUGUAAACCUCUUUCAGUAGGGAAGAAGCGAAAGUGACGGUACCUGCAGAAGAAGCGCCGGCUAACUACGUGCCAGCAGCCGCGGUAAUACGUAGGGCGCAAGCGUUGUCCGGAAUUAUUGGGCGUAAAGAGCUCGUAGGCGGUUUGUCGCGUCUGGUGUGAAAACUCAAGGCUCAACCUUGAGCUUGCAUCGGGUACGGGCAGACUAGAGUGUGGUAGGGGUGACUGGAAUUCCUGGUGUAGCGGUGGAAUGCGCAGAUAUCAGGAGGAACACCGAUGGCGAAGGCAGGUCACUGGGCCACUACUGACGCUGAGGAGCGAAAGCAUGGGGAGCGAACAGGAUUAGAUACCCUGGUAGUCCAUGCCGUAAACGUUGGGCACUAGGUGUGGGGCUCAUUCCACGAGUUCCGCGCCGCAGCUAACGCAUUAAGUGCCCCGCCUGGGGAGUACGGCCGCAAGGCUAAAACUCAAAGGAAUUGACGGGGGCCCGCACAAGCGGCGGAGCAUGCGGAUUAAUUCGAUGCAACGCGAAGAACCUUACCAAGGCUUGACAUACACCGGAAUCAUGCAGAGAUGUGUGCGUCUUC